GACGAACGCUGGCGGCGUGCUUAACACAUGCAAGUCGAACGGAAAGGCCCUGCUUUUGUGGGGUGCUCGAGUGGCGAACGGGUGAGUAACACGUGAGUAACCUGCCCUUGACUUUGGGAUAACUUCAGGAAACUGGGGCUAAUACCGGAUAGGAGCUCCUGCUGCAUGGUGGGGGUUGGAAAGUUUCGGCGGUUGGGGAUGGACUCGCGGCUUAUCAGCUUGUUGGUGGGGUAGGGGCUUACCAAGGCUUUGACGGGUAGCCGGCCUGAGAGGGUGACCGGCCACAUUGGGACUGAGAUACGGCCCAGACUCCUACGGGAGGCAGCAGGGGGGAAUAUUGCACAAUGGGCGGAAGCCUGAUGCAGCAACGCCGCGUGCGGGAUGACGGCCUUCGGGUUGUAAACCGCUUUCGCCUGUGACGAAGCGUGAGUGACGGUAAUGGGUAAAGAAGCACCGGCUAACUACGUG
This 468-nucleotide ribosomal RNA is filed under the name uncultured bacterium. RNAcentral's name for it is "partial 16S ribosomal RNA". It matches the Rfam family "Bacterial small subunit ribosomal RNA", at positions 28 to 507 of the family's 1533-position model. The record is from RNAcentral.